UAAAAAUAAAAGAAACUGCGUGAUGGGUCGGGUAAUGGAGCAUUUGUUGAAAUUACCAGUAUGCCCUUAUUGAAAGGACAAAUGUGAAAUUUCAUGAGAAGUUUCCCUAGCAGGAAUUUAAUUUACAAAUGAAUAUUUAACUCUAUUUUCAUGAAUAAAUAAUGCCACUUCUAUUUUUUAUUAAGCAUUUGAUUUUUUUUUUCACAUGUUUUUAAAUUGUUUGACUGGACAUUUUCAUUUUUUUAUCUUUAAUUUUUGUUAAAUAAAUUCAUACAACUUUAAAAUCUUAUUUUACGAAAAAUCAUCAAUAUACUUAUCUAAAGGAGAAGCGAGGGGCGUGUAGGUGGCGCCUUUCACAUCGCUCCGUUCUAUUUUUCUAAUUUUCUGGAAUUUUUGAAUGAAAAAUAACAAAAAUGGUACUAAAAGCUAAUUCAUAUAUUAAAUGUAAUGACCAUCAAAAUGGUAACAGAAGCCAUAAAAAUGGCACUAAAAGCCAUUAAAGGCAUAAAAAGUCAUCAAUAAUGAUCCCAUAAAUGGUACUAAAUAUUCAUAAAGAAUAUUUAUCCAAUCACAAUUUAAAACGUAACAAAUCAAGAUCUAUAAUUACUACUAUUAAAAUCAAAUAAUAUUCAAAUUUACAAUUCUAAAACUAAAAUCAUGCCAUAAAAUAAUUCAAUCAGAAAAAUCUAAUAGCACUAAUUAAGUGAUCACAACUAAAUUCAACAUGACACCCAUAUCAACUCUUGGAAUAAUUGACUAAGUAGCGACAAAAAAAUCAAAAAGCAACUCAGACAAUAAUAAACAAAAUAAUGCAACAUUAAAACUAAGAACAUGCGACUCGGCGUUACUCGGCUGAAAAAAAAAGAAACUAAAAAGAAACAAUACUCAAAAACUAAAUCCAGGCAAUCAUUUAAGCUAGUAAAUCAGAAGAAGGCGCACAAAACUAGCAAAUCAAAGGACGCAAACACGGUUUCACUCAACUCGGUGCUAAACAAAAUGACUCGAGAUGGCGACUCAGACCAAACCAUGCAUCAAAACUCAGCAUACAGGACUUCAACACAGUGCUGUAACUCAGAAAAUGAAUAACUAAAACAAAACUAAAAACGAGACAGGGACUGCAACCCGGAAACAAAACAUAAACACAAACUCAACCCAUCAGCGCAAAACAUUUUGGUGCCAUACUCGAUGGCUUGCUCGGUGUGAAAAGUGCCGUUUUUCCGGUGAUACCCUUGUCGAUAAACACCGCCGCCGUGCCGAAACAGCGGCGAUAGAGCAAGUGCGAAUCGGAGGAGAGAAUAGCGGAGUCGCUUACAGGACAGAAGUAGUACUUUAUGAAAACUUGUUGGGAUAAAAAGAGAGAGUUAUGAAAGAGAAGAUGAUCAGAAAAAAAAUGUAUGAAUCGUGGGAAGAGCAGAGAGAG
Molecule: long non-coding RNA, 1420 nt
Filed under: Daucus carota (carrot)
Lineage: Eukaryota; Viridiplantae; Streptophyta; Magnoliopsida; Apiales; Apiaceae
Description: long non-coding RNA (DCAR_LNC005468)
Source: RNAcentral